RNAcentral lists this transfer RNA (23 nucleotides) under Impatiens sp. RHT429. Its description in RNAcentral is "partial tRNA-Leu". Lineage: Eukaryota; Viridiplantae; Streptophyta; Magnoliopsida; Ericales; Balsaminaceae. The record is from RNAcentral.
GGUUCAAGGUCCCUCUAUCCCAA